This is a long non-coding RNA of Anas platyrhynchos (mallard), 741 nucleotides long. RefSeq lists it as uncharacterized. The record is from RefSeq and is a predicted model, not a curated record. Lineage: Eukaryota; Metazoa; Chordata; Aves; Anseriformes; Anatidae.
UGCUGGUGGGAGAUCAAAUAAAGUGCACCUUGGCCAGGAAUAUAUUCCCAUUGGGAAUGUGAAGAUGUUCACAUUCCCAGGUGCUUUUGCAGGCACUUUUGGUAACUCUUUCUCAUCCCCAGAGCAGGUGGUGCAGGCAGGGGACUGCUCCGUCUGCUGGCUGUUUCCUGCCUUUGACCACGCAGGACUUCAUAGCAGCUGCCCUCCUUUCCGCUCCGACAUCUCAGCUAAGUGAGAUGAAUCCAGGUCUUUAUGGGGCCUUUUUUUCCAAGUGGCAGUGGUUAUGCACAGGGCAAUACGGUGCAAAUCAAGACAGAUGUGCUUCCUCUUUGCGCAGCAAUUACUCACAGAGCCCUUCGGCGGGCUGCAUCUCACAAAUCCUGGAAGCAAAAGGCUGUUAGGAAUCACAAAUACACCUGGGAGGUGCAGCUCUACUGGGAAGGGGAGCAGAUGCUGAAUGGAAGCCCGGGAAUCAUACGUGCGAGGAGUUUGUCGGUUCUGUGUUUGCAGAUUUCAACCGUGCUGCCAUUAUGCUCGGGUGCUUUUCUUAUUAAACAAGACGAGGCAAGCACAAUCAACAUGUCCUGUUUUGGUUGAAUCAGCAAGGAGGAGUUCAGUGCUCACUCUCCACAAAUAAUCCCAUUCUCCCAGGCAGCUGUCUUCUGCAAAAUGAAAGUGCAGACAUCUACAGUAUUACCCAGUGCCUGUUUGCACGGAGUCUGCUGUUAUCAUGUUAAUGAA